GGCCAGCUAGCUCAGUCAGUUAGAGCAUGGUGCUGAUAACACCAAGGUCGUGGGGUGGGUUUGAUCCCCGUUCGGUCCC
Molecule: transfer RNA, 79 nt
Filed under: Apaloderma vittatum (bar-tailed trogon)
Lineage: Eukaryota; Metazoa; Chordata; Aves; Trogoniformes; Trogonidae
Rfam family: tRNA
About the family: Transfer RNA (tRNA) molecules are approximately 80 nucleotides in length. Their secondary structure includes four short double-helical elements and three loops (D, anti-codon, and T loops).
Source: Rfam by way of RNAcentral